RNAcentral lists this ribosomal RNA (430 nucleotides) under uncultured prokaryote. RNAcentral describes it as "bacterial SSU rRNA". It matches the Rfam family "Bacterial small subunit ribosomal RNA", at positions 355 to 776 of the family's 1533-position model. The record is from RNAcentral. RNAcentral also lists the same sequence under 1 other name.
UAGGGAAUCUUCCGCAAUGGACGAAAGUCUGACGGAGCAACGCCGCGUGAGUGAUGAAGGCUUUCGGGUCGUAAAACUCUGUUGUUAGGGAAGAACAAGUGCUAGUUGAAUAAGCUGGCACCUUGACGGUACCUAACCAGAAAGCCACGGCUAACUACGUGCCAGCAGCCGCGGUAAUACGUAGGUGGCAAGCGUUAUCCGGAAUUAUUGGGCGUAAAGCGCGCGCAGGUGGUUUCUUAAGUCUGAUGUGAAAGCCCACGGCUCAACCGAGGAGGGUCAUUGGAAACUGGGAGACUUGAGUGCAGAAGAGGAAAGUGGAAUUCCAUGUGUAGCGGUGAAAUGCGUAGAGAUAUGGAGGAACACCAGUGGCGAAGGCGACUUUCUGGUCUGUAACUGACACUGAGGCGCGAAAGCGUGGGGAGCAAACAGG